AUGAGAGAUGGGGCUCAAGAUAAAGCUACUAACUUUUUUCUUUAAUGGUUUAAUUCCAUUUAUCUCUCU
RNAcentral lists this transfer RNA (69 nucleotides) under Micropygomyia chassigneti. RNAcentral describes it as "tRNA-Ser". The record is from RNAcentral. Lineage: Eukaryota; Metazoa; Arthropoda; Insecta; Diptera; Psychodidae.